Molecule: ribosomal RNA, 253 nt
Filed under: uncultured bacterium
Lineage: Bacteria
Description: partial 16S ribosomal RNA
Rfam family: Bacterial small subunit ribosomal RNA
Source: RNAcentral
GACGAAGGAUGCGAGCGUUAUCCGGAUUCACUGGGUUUAAAGGGUGCGUAGGCGGUUUAGUAAGUUUCAAGUUAAAGACUGGUGCUUAACAUCGGGACUGCUUGAAAAACUGCUAGACUUGAGAUAGGUCGGCGUUGCUGGAAUAUGGCAAGUAGAGGUGAAAUUCAUAGAUAUGCCAUAGAACACCGAUAGCGAAGGCAGGCGACGAGGCCUUAUCUGACGCUGAGGCACGAAAGCGUGGGGAUCAAACAGG